GCUUUUCCUUAUGUUUGCAAAGAACUUCCUCUGUUUCAUUUUCUGCCCAUUGUAAGCGUGACUCACCCAGACAUUCAGGAGAUGUAGAUGACGAACACCUUCAUGCUUUAGGCACUCUUACAGAAAGAACAUUUCAGAUCCCCUGUAUGUGUUAUCCUGGUUUCAGCUGGGACAGGUAAUAGCACACAUAUGUUUGGGUAGUUCCUGAGCAAUAGGCAUACACCUGAGGCAGGGCUGCUGCCAUGAUGGAAGGCAGCAAAGGGUGAGGCAGGGCCAGCACAGGUGGCCUGAAUUGGGGGGCUGUUCCAUACCGUGUAAUACCAGGUGGAAGGUCAUAAAGCUGUGGGAAGUUGCCUGGAGGCCUUCUACUGUUGUUUGGGGGAGGACUGCUGGUUGGUUGGUGUGUGGGAGCAGCCGUGGAAAGAGAGAAGAUGAAAGUUCCUAUUCCAAACUUGAUUCUCUUGUAUGCUACUCUAACGCAGAGCUUGAAGGUUGUGACCAAAAGAGGAUCAGGUACGGGGCUGACUUGUCUGAAGACAAAUCUUCAGCCAGAUGUCCAUGACUAUAUGAUCCAGAGUGAAUGCUGAAGACAAAACAAAGACAUAAGCAAGAAAUAAUGCAAAUUCUACCUACCUACCUGUUUGUCUACAUAUGUUUUUGUG
This is a long non-coding RNA of Phasianus colchicus (ring-necked pheasant), 662 nucleotides long. NCBI's taxonomy places the organism in Eukaryota, Metazoa, Chordata, Aves, Galliformes, Phasianidae. The record is from Ensembl.